Molecule: long non-coding RNA, 15587 nt
Filed under: Vigna radiata
Lineage: Eukaryota; Viridiplantae; Streptophyta; Magnoliopsida; Fabales; Fabaceae
Description: long non-coding RNA (VRAD_LNC010648)
Source: RNAcentral
GGGAGGUAAGAAAAACUAUAAACAGCAAUCUGCUUUAUUGUAUUGUAGUUAUGUAUGAGGCUGAGCUCGGAUUUUAUUUUUAGCCUUUUUUUCAAAAAAGAAAAAUGUAAGGCACAAAGCUUCUGAAUUUCAGAGAGAGAGAGAGAGAAAGAGAUAACUCCAAUAAUACAGCGGAUAUUUGUACAUUGGAGCAGUCACGAGGGAGACCCUUGCUUAGAUCUAAAAGAAUAUGUAUGCAGUUGCAUACUUUCUCAGCCAAACAACAUAUAAAACAACGAAACAGAUGUCUGCAACAGCAUAAAUAUUCUGCACACAAUGAUACAAGCGAAAUUGAUUGCCUUAACAGAAAAUUACACAGAAGGCUUUUGAAUUCCUCAGAAUACAAGCAACAUUGUUUUAUUAACUAUGGCCAAUCUUUACAGCUUACCAUACAUACCUACCUACCUUAAGGACCACGACCAAGCAUGCUAGCUGCUGCACAAAGUACAAGCUACAUUCAUCUCUCGCAAAUAAAAUAUACCCAGUUGUACUUUUGGAAGCCAUGGUCUCCGAAUAGCUAGCAGAUUUGAAGAACAUUAUUUGAGGGAGGUUCAAAGGAGAGGUGAGGUAAGAUAAGAUCCUCAAUCAUUUUCUUUGAAGCCAUGGCAUGAUAUUAGUCAUUGCAUCUUGGUAGGCCAAAAUUGUAACAGCUCAGGAGGGAUAGACAAGGAAGGAGAGGAUGAGUUGGGUGGCAACGGGGAAAGAAGGAGAUCAAACUCUAUAUCAGUGGAUGCUGAUAUAGGGUCUUCCACAAAAGCAAAAACAAAGAAAACAGAUAAGGUGUGAGGUCUUACAAGGUCAAGAAAAGGUCUUACAAGGUCAAGAAGAGUCUAAAGAAAAACAAACAAGUGUGGUAGAAACUAGAUGAAGAAGAAAGAUGAGAGAAGGUAGUAAAAAGCUCAGAUAGGAUAGCACCAUAUUAGAACGAAGCUCCUGCAGCUGCUGCCAGCACUCCAGGAGAAUUGUCAGCUCCAAUUUCAGAGCCACUAAUGGCUUCUUUUUGGUCACACCUCCCAAUUCUCAGAGGGUUGACCAUGGCCACCUUGCUGCUAGUCACGUGCAUGAUGAGAAACCCCUUAUAUGGACCUGCAUCAUGUAUCAUGCUCUUAUUUAGUGCAGAGAAUAAUGAAGAAGAAUGGCAGGGCCAGAAGCAGGAGCCAGCUUUAGAUUAGAUAAAAAGUAGCUAAGAGAAAAAAAAAAAAAAAAAGUAAGUAUAAAACAAUUAAAAGAAUACAAGAGAAUAUCUUCCGUUUACCAUAAAGUAAAAUAGUUGAGUCAGUCACAGAAUAAUUAUCUUAUAUAGCGUAAGCUGAGCUAGUACAAAAAAAUUACACCUUUAACAGGAAUUACACAUAUUAAAAAGGUUCAAGAUAACUGUGCAAGCUAGCUAUGACUCUAGGUGAUGCAAAUUUUAUUCUGCAAGUUCAACUCAUGCUAACAGUGGUACCUUCAACAAAAAACCCGUCUUUUGGUUUCAUCUUUGAGACCCUUUUUUCCUCUCUACACUAUUUGAAGAGCGUGAAAGGAGAGAGAAAGAGAAGCACAGAAAAAAGUGAGAGUGAGAGUGAAAGAGAGAGGGAACUUUUUGUUAUGGUAAGAUGGGAGGGAAUGGAGGAAAUGCAGAGGUUUAUAUGGAGAAAAAAAAGGAAAGAUGAGUGCAUGAGGCGGCCAGUGGGCUUUCCCAAUGGACCUGAUUGCGACAGGUCCAAGGCCCAGAAAGAUCUAAACGGACCUGUGACAUCAUCAGGGCCCAGUAUAAAGGAAAAAAAUGUUAAAUGUUGGAAAUGUAGUUUUCUUUUUGCUUUUCAACAAUUUCUGUUUCUGAUCAAAGUUAUUAUCCAAUUAUGAUGCUUUCCAUAUAAAUAUUUUUAUAAGCAGUGACAUUGCUAAAGUAGUAAAGUGGAGAACAUUAGACAGUGAAUCAGAGCAUUUUUCAGUAAAUAAUAAUAUAAACUCAUAAUAUUGUUAAAAUUAUUUUAUUGAGUGCAGAAAUCCGUACAGAAGGAGGACAAAAGGGUCUUCAGGUUUUGUGUGGGCCAUGUGGUGGCUGUAGCUGUGUCCCAGUGUUUGGUCGUGUGGUUUCCCCAAGCUACCAUUUUUCUGAGUGCAACUUCAUACUCACCAUAGCAGACUACCACUUCUAUAACCUUUUCAAUGUUUCAUAUUUCUUUAAUCACAAUUCUCACUCCAUCUUCAUGUUUCAAAUCAAUCUCCCUUUUUAAAAUUCUUAUUUUUUAAUGUAACCCAUUUAAAAAUUAUUAUAUACAUAACCAUAAUUUUUAUGAAAUUUUAAAUAUACUUUCUAAAUUUCAUUAAAUUGAUUACAUACUUUUUUAUGUAUGAUCUGACAUUUUAUUGUUAGAAGAUAUAUAAACAAAAAAAAAAAAAGAUUGUUUUGAUGUGUACUAUCUUAUAUAACUGUAUUUUGGACAAUAGGGUUCUAUAUGCUAAAUUUUAAGAUAGUUGCUAUACCGUCAAUGAAUUUUAAUAUUUAUUUAUAUCCAUAUCUAAAUCAUUAAUAUUUAAAUUUUUAAUAUAUCCAUCUAGAAUUUUGUUUGAUAUAAUACUUUUAAAUACGAUAUCAACAUGAAGUAUCUAGUUAUUCAAUACAAUAACAUAAAAAAUAUUAAAGAAAUGUGUAUACAUGAAAUUUUAGAAUCAUGAAAUUUAUAGUUAAAUAUAUUUUUAAUCGUAUAAAAUUAAAAUUUGUUUUAGUUACAUAUUUUACCUAACCAUAAAAGGUGGUUGUGAUUGAUAGAAUCCUCUAUAGUCACAAUGUAGGGUUACACAUGGUUGAAUUCAAUACAGAAAAUAAAUUUUAUAGAAGUGUUAAAAUUGAAGCAACAUCUUUUAAUCAUGAAAAAUUAUAAGUAUUAUUAUUAAACGCUAAUCAUCCGAAGACCAAGCUUGUAUUAUUGAUAAUAACAGUAGCAAAGGAACAAAAUGGUUGGUUUUGAAUAGGACACAUGUGGUGGAGUUCAAAGGUGGGUAGAAUGUAAUAUCCAGUGAGACAGGAACAUCAAAAUCCUCUAAUGAUUUCUCAUAUCGAAUAUAAGAUAUUCUGUUUCCUUUUUUAGUUUCGAUAUCUGUUGGUAUUACCACAUUUAAUAUAUUUACACAGAAUUAAGGAAGUUUAAAUAUUUUUUUAUUUCUUAUUUUUUAUUUUUUGAAAUGUUUUUUAAAGAGAAAAUCUAAUGUUUCAUAUUCUAAAAUAGAUAAUCAUAUAAAUGAUUUAUCCUUAACAAUAUUAUAUUUAUAGAUGAUUUUUUUACUAUUGAUCUUUUAAAUUGUCUUUUAACUGAAUUAAAUUUAAAGUGAGUUUAGUUUACUAACCCUUCAUUAAGUAGAGUGUGAACUCUAACAGAAUUUGGUUAUGGUAGAUGUAAUGUCAAAUCAUAUAAGAUUAUGCACCAAUUAUGUAAGGAUUUUAAUUAAUACAUUUCAAAAGUUGUUCUUAGCUUAAAUUUUAUAUUCCACAAUUUGUAUUUACAAAAUUAUUUUAACACAUUUAACCCACAAUUUAGUGCAUAUUUAUAUUUAACACAUACUUUACUUUGAUACUCAUAUAAUACUCAUACACAUGGUCAUACAUAAUCCACAAAUGAAUCAUUUACAUAAUUUAAACCAGUUAAGAACAAAGAAGAAAAGAAUACAUUACAACCUUGACUAAUUGCUAGCACACACACUUGUUAAGCGACCACAGGGUCCUCUUGCACAGUGACCCAGAUUUGUUGUGCGAAUCCACUGACAGUACCCCAGCUUCCAAACCACUCGCUCAACGACCCAGCUCGUUGAACGAAUAAAACUACCAAUAGUACUAGACCCCAACUUCUCACUUAGCGCCCUAAUUCACUAAGCGAAACCUCCAGAUAGUGGUUCAAACCCCAAUUCACUCGCUCAACGCCCUUGUUCAUUGUGCAAAUCCUCAAACAGUGUGUCAACCCUCUCAGCCACUCGCUGAGCGAAUCCACUCGCUCAAUGAGUCUGCAUAAUUCUGCAGCACAAAACUGUAGAAUUAUCUCAACCUAUCCCAAACUUACCAAUUCCAAAUAUUUUUCCCAAAUUCUAAUCCCUCUAGAUCAUGUUAUAUACCUAAUUAUACUUAACUAAGUGUGUCUAAACCUUUCUAACCUCACUCUAAAGUGCUUAUUAACCAAUUCCCACUUCAACACUUACAAAUCAUCAACCUUUGAACCCAAAUCACAUUCUACUACUUUUGGCACAGUUUAAGAGGUUCAUGGACUCUAACUAGUCCUAAAUGACCCACCUAGACUAUCUCUAACAACCAAAUGAACACCUAACACCCAAAACAGAUUUUCAUUACUCUACUUCCUCUAAACUAGUUAAAAUGAGUGUAAAUCACUUCAAUUCACUCCCACAACAGAUUUCUAAUAGUGAAAAUAUCCAAAUACAAAUUAACAUCAUUCCAAAUGGUCCAGAAAUCUCAACUCAUCAUUUCAAACUCAAAACAAUCAAAACUACACAUUUUCCGUCUACUUUUAACAUUAUUUCAGUGCAACCAGUUCAAGAAUCAUACAACCACCAAACAUGUAGACAAUUAAUUUAUCAAUUAAAUAUACGUUUAAUACCUAUUUUGGUCCCUAGAUUUGUAGGGUUUGUUCAAAGUUGUCCUCCUUUUUUCAAAAGUUCACUAACAUCCUACUUUUUCGCAAAAACAGUUUAAGUUAGUCCUUUUUUCUUACGACGUUAAAAAACUAACAGCAGAGAUGCUCUACUGGCCAAAAUUAAAUGAUUUGUCCAAGUAGUCCCAUUAGUUGGCAAAUUCAGCUAAUAAGAGACUAUUAUGUUGCAGUCCCCUUUCCACUCAAGCUUUAUCACACUUCUUCAUCUUCUUCAAUCACAUUGUAAUCAUCUUCAUCAUCAACCAAUCACACUGAAAUUCAGUUGUCAAGAAACAAAAAAAUUAAAGUGUGGGUAGAAAAACCUCCAGAGGGUGAAAACCUUAGUUCAUGAGAUUGUUGUUCUUCUGUUUCUUUGAUGCUUGAAUCAAGUGUCAACGCUAAUUGAGAAGAAGAAUCUAACGUUUGAUGAUGAGCAUUUUUGGAUUUAUUGGAGUUGUUGUUCUCUGUUUCAUUCUUCUCUGCUGUGAAAUCCAUAAUCCUACGCGGCUUCCCAAACCCUAAUCCGCUUUUCCCAAACCAUAAUCCCCUUUUCCCAAACCCCAAUCCCCUUGCACUGGAGUGGUGCUACAUCUGCAAUAUUGGAGAUGUGUUCAAGAUACCAUGACAGUAAAGGGAUUUGUCACACCAUGGAAAAUCAAAAAAUCAAAUUUGGGAAUUAUCAACAAAGGGAAGUACCAUCAUGACUCACUUGAACGUUGUCUGGCAGAAGACUUUCAGAUUUGUAGUCAAGUUUCAUACUAAAAAGAUGGGGCUGUAUGAGCAUUCAGAUAUUAUGCAGUGGGGUACUGAUCGUUUUGGCUCUGACCCUACAUACAGUCCUCGAUAUUAUUGUGACAUAAUUCAACCUAAUACUGGUGAUGUCUAUAAUAAUGGGCACUACUUCUAUAACCACUAUGCUACUCAACUUAACCAAACAGAGAAUGACGACAUCAUUGCACGAGCUCUUCAAGAACAAUUUUCACGAUUAGAUAUUUGAUGUGGGGGAUUUUGGCCAUAUGAACUUCUCCAGUAACUCAAAUGGUGUUACCUCAAAGCCAAGAGGCCAUGAAUGGACCCUGAAGGUUCAUCCAUUGCGUUACCUUCGUUCCCAAAUUGCCAAUUGAUUUUAACCUAAAACUAAUUUCAUUUAACCCUAAUCUGCGUCAUUAAAUUUUAUUUUAAAAUUGACACCUCAAUUCUCUUCAGAGUGCCACGUAAGAAUAAAACUAGACAACUAAUUCCCUUUUCGCCAACGGGACAACUCUGCCGUUAACGUUUUUAACACCGUAAGCAAAAAGGACUUACAUAAACCAUUUUUACAAAAUAUAGGACCUAGGUGAACUUUUUAGAAAAAGGAGGACAACUUUGAACAUACCCUAAAAACUAGGGACCAAAAUAGGUAUUAAACCUUAAACAUAUUAUAGCUCCCCUUACCUCAACUAAACUCUACAUAACUCAUAAAAACCACGAUAGUUCGCUUGCACCGUAAAAAAUUCUAGAAACACAUACAAAUCACCAAUUGGUUAUAGUAAACAACUCUUAAAACCUAAAUUGAGCUAGGAAUUGAAGAAAAGGAACUCUUGAUCCUUGAAAACAGAAUUUCUUUACAGGAUCAAGAACCCUAAACACCAAAGAAAAGGUUUACCACUCACUGUUUGAUUCUACAAAUUGACCAGUCGAUUUAGUAACCCUCGACGCCAAAAUCAUCUAGACACUUUCUAAUCAUUAAUCAGAUGAUUGAAAAGUAAGAAAUGUUAAAAAGAAAUGAAAAAAAGAAAAAAAAACAAUAUUUUACAAAAAUAAAAAGUAUUUAAAUAAUAAAACGAACUUUAAAAAUAUUUGUUUAUAUUAUAAAAUUAUUUUAUAAUAAAAUUACUUAAUUUCAUUAUUUUAAUGCAUCUAUCUAUAUUAAACUUUAAUUUUAUAUCACCAAUUUAAAGUUUUAUCACAAUUAUUAUCAUUUUAUAAAUAUUAUAUUCAAAAUCUUUGUACCGUAUAUUUUACUCUCAAAAGUUUUUAAGGAGUUACUCUCCACCUCCCCAAAUACUCCCUACACCUCUACAUUAUUUUUUUAAUUCCAAAGAUAUCCUCAUUAAUUUAAUUUUUAUCAUUUAAUUUUAUUUAGCCUUUUUAAAAUCCUAAAUAUCCAUGCACCCCUUCACCCCCCUUCACUUUUAUCUUAAAUAUCAGUGAGUGGUUAUACCAUAACUACAGAGAUUGGCCUAGUCUCCAUGACCCAGAUCCAAAAAUUAUCACAAUCCCAACACAAAAAAAAAAACAACCUUCAACCAAAUCCUAACACCACAACCACUACCCCGUCCUUUGGUGGAGUAGUCGUCCUUUUAAAAUAAACUAAUGUAACACUGUUAUUAUUAUAAAUUAUUUAAGCUAUAUUCACAUCCAAACAAUUAUCAAUCAUUUUUCAUGGUAUAAAAAAUUAUUAAAAUAAUAAAAAAAAAAAUACAAUACAAAACAUAAAGAAUCUUACCAAAACGUAUAAUAAAAAGUAACAAUUAUAAAAAAAAAAUAAACAAAUUAUAGUUAUUAUACGUAGAAUAUAUAAAUAAAUACAUAAAAGUAAAAUAGCAUAUCACUUAUAUGAUUCUUUUCAAAAACAUAAAAAAAAAAUUAAAUUAUAUAUGUUUACAAAAAUACAAUAACCGACGUCAUUUUCUAAAAUUCUAAAAAUCCAUUUGUUUAAUAAAAUAUUAUGAAAAACUAAAAUAAAAAUCAGUCUUAAACUGAAAAUUCUGAGAACACUUUCUUUAAAUAUGCUCCAAAAUGCGAAUGAUCCACAAAUUCACCGUAAAUAAAAAUCUACACUCUUAUUAAAAAAAAAAAAAAAAAAAAAAAAAAAAAAAAAAAACUACCCAAAUAUAUCCAUCCUAUCUUCCUUGUAAAUACUAUCACAUAUAUAACCGAACCUGAAUAACCUUAAUUAAACCAUCAAUAUCUACUUCAAAGCAAUUAACGUAUAUAAAUUAAAGCACUCUACCCUCUUUGAUUGAAAUAUUAAAAAAUUCUACUACCAAAUAAUCAGACACAAUAUUACUCAUUUGUUGCUUCUUGGAUUUAUUUUCAACAAGAUUGUUAACAAAGCUCAAAAAGUGAUUUCUUUUCCUUUUUCUUUCUUACUUUCAGAUUAGCAUUAUCUUGAGCAAUGGACAUGGUUUAGACUAUAGCAGCUGCUUCACCAUUAAACGAAAGCAAAGAAAAUAUUUCUCUGCCAAAUGGACUGAGAUCUAUCAAAAUAGAUGAAAUCAAGUAAAAUAUUUAGAAUGUUUAGCAAUGAAUCUAACAAAGUUUGACCAAUUUUACGGUUUCAGAACUACUACCUCAGAAUCCUAUGGUAAUAAUUACUACAAUGUAGACUGGAGUAUUACACAGGCUAUCCAUUUGACAAAUCCUAGACAAUGUAGACUGGAGUAUUACACAGGCUAUCAAUUUGACAAUCUGCACACUGCAAGAACAAACUUCACAACAGCAACUCUAACAAAAAGAAAAAGAAAAACUUAAAAUUACCUUAAUAACAUUUUAUACUCCAGCUUAUUGAAAGAAAAUUGGAUUAAGAGACAUUUCAUUACUUCCCAAAAAUAUGCAGACCCAAGCAUCCAACUUUUAUAUUCAUCAGUUUUGCAACUGGCUAGCAAGGAGUUUCUUGUAAGUCAUGAAGAAUUCAUUGACCUCUUACUUUGAGAGCAAAAUAUGAAAGUCUCUAGAUCGUUCUUGGUAAUCUAGCUAUGUUUAGCAUCACCCCAGAAAAUGGUAAUACGAGUUGAAACAGGAUGCUCAGUAAAUAGGUAUGACCAACCUAGUCGCGUAUUUCUAUAGACGAAAGAUGAAAAACCUUAUAUACACGCAACUGCAAUCAUUUUAUUUACCCUGUUAUAUUCUGGAAUAGUGAUAAGUCAGCAACCGAAGAAUAAUAUUGAAUGUAUACCGAAAAAUUAUAUUGAAAGCACUCUUUGAAAAACAGGUUUAUAACAGAUACAGAAAAGAAAAAAUUAUUCAUGAGUUGAUUUCAAAUUAUGCCUACUGAGACCUCGGAAGAAAUCAGGGUCGAACCAGCAUGUGCAGGCUUUCUCCAAUCCAUUCUUGGCAGCUUCCUUCUUCUCAACGAUGUUCUUGUAAAGUUUAACCCAUCUGUACAUGGCUCGCUUCAAUCGAGCACUCUGGCCUCUACCAGAAGCAAACUUGACGCAGUCCCUAGCUAGCUUUAUAAGUUCUAAGCCAUUGAUGACAAAAAUAUACUGGAAAAAGAAGUAGGGUAUUAUAAAAUGGAACAUGGCACAACCAUCCUACCAAUAUUGUUAAUCAUCUAAUCAUAUCUAAGAAGGUAGUCAAAUAUCAUCACCAAUCUUGCAUAUAAGUAUAUUUCAAGCUCAACCACCUCAUGCAUUCUAAAUAACUCAGAAAAAGUACACACAAAAUUAUAUUAACAGACACCAUUUACCACCGUUAUUAUCUUAGGAACUUCUUAGGAAUGUCGCUUUGGUUUCCUUCAUUUUUCACACAAUUAAAAAAAUCUUAGACUAAAUGAAUAAGUAGACACGCACAAUUCAUGCUACGAGAGAACUUACCAUUAUUACAAAGCAAACGGUUGCUAAAACAACUUGAAGAUUUUCGUUUGACAUCCCAUCUGAUCCCCCAGAACUGUCGCCAUCUCCGCCACCACCGCCACGGCGUCCUCCAGGAGGUACGUCUCCACUGCCUCCCUUCUGCAUUUGCUGUCGUAAUAUAUCCUCUAUAGACUGCCCCUUAAAUUGUUCGAUAGCUUCUUGAAGAGAUUUGUUCUGGAAAUCCUGAUUAUGUUUCUAGUAUUUAGUAACUAAAGAACAAAUCAAAUACAAAAUACAAAAACCCCAUAUAAUAUAUAUGAAGAGCAUACACAGAACGCCAACUCCUCUAUUCACACAUUGGAACUCCUCGGUUGAAACAUGUUGCAAAGGUUCACUCUAGGAAGAAAACUAGAGCUAUACAACAAAAAAAAAGUUUUUCAGUCAAAAAUUGGCCACACAAAAACAUACUGGCCGCUUUUCUCUACCUAAAAAACAAACAUAUCCAUAAACUAAAAUCUGUUCAUGCAUUAAUUAAAAACAAUUUUUGGAGCAACAAAUAUCAAAAGGCUUCCACAAUUUUUUAUCAAAAAGUUAUUUUCAUUUUAUCCAUCUAAUUUGUAUCUUCUAUGAAUAUUUCUGAAGAAGUACAGCUGAACAAACACAGUAACAAUAAAAACUCUCACAGGAUGCAAGAUACUUUUGACAUCUUUAGCAAUAUCAAGUUUUCUGAAGGAGCAUCUAACUGGAAAAAAAAAAAAAUCAAUAACUAGCAAUGUAAAAGAAAAAAAAAAAAAGUGUAUUCUUACCCCAUUAUUUUCCAUCAUUCCUUGUCCACCGGCCAAACAUAUAUGAAGAGGUUGGCGAGAUAUGAGGACAGGUUGGCAUUGAGAGCGAGAUAGAGAUUUAGGUCUGAGGCAAAGGGAAGUAACAUAGAGAGGGUCAAAAGCCACCCGCGAUGAACAUGCUCCAGAAUUAAAAUCGCGGCCCAAAUGAGACAAGUUGGGGGCAUGAACCCCACGAACACGUGGACCAGGACCAACUUUGAUGAUGUUCAUUCUCACCAAACAGAACCAGCACUUCAAAAAAAUUCACGCAUUACACAUACCUGAAAACAAACCUUGUUUUAAGAUAGAUUAUUGAACCUGAAAAUAAAAACAUGCAUGUUCGAAUUGAAUGAAAAAAUAUGCUGCUAGCAAGAAAUAAUCAAGAAUUGAUUAACAGAAUGAAGCAUUAGAAGGAAAUUGAGAAGGUAAUAAAUGGAUAAAAUGAAAAGAAAUGACUCACCCAUGGAAGGGUUAGACGAUGCAAUCAAGAAGGAUUUGAAAUGUGUCUUCUCCCAACUAUGGAUCAAAAGGUGGAUUCUUCUGCAAUUUAGCUAGGGCUGUGUUAAGGGCGGUGCCCACAGAGAAGAAAAGAGGGUUCUAGAGUCUUUCGCUUUUGCUCUUGCUCGUGGAUGGAUUCUUUUUAAUAUCAAACUCCAGCCGUUGGAUUGAAUUUUAGUCUAAGGAUCUCUCUGCAAAAAUAGUUUCUAUAGAGGGAGUGGAGAAAUUUAUGAAAUUUUCAGCGUAUCUUGGAUACAUCUGAUGGAUCAUAUCAAAAAUUGAAAAUCAGCAAAGACCAAACAUGUUCUAACCCUUAGAUCCAUCUCACGGUUGAAAAAUUAAAAGUUAAUUGUUUCAUUUUACUAAAUAUAUGUUUGAUACCAUUAUUAGGGGAAAGAAAUAGGUAAAAUUUAAAAGUAAAUAUAUUUAACAAGAUUAUUAGAAGAAAGAGAUAAGUCAGGUUGAAGUUUUUAGAGAAAUUCAAAAGUUAUUCAAAAGAAAAUAUCAAAAAUCUAUUUUCAAAUCAAGGUAAAAUAAGUAAAUAUAUAAAUAGAAUUAGAAAAAAUAAAGUGAAAUUUAUUUUUUAAAACUAGAUUGUCAAUUUUAAUUUACAAAUAAUUUAUGAUAGGGUGUAUUUAUGCUAUAAAUAUACUAUAACUUUUAUAAAUAAAUUUUAAUUUUUUUUAUUUUGAUUAUAAUAAUGUGAUUUUUAAACUUAAUGUUUGAUUAGGAAAUCAAGAUUAUGAUAUUAAACAGUGCUUGUGAUCAAGGAUAAAAACCAUUUAAUUUAUUAUGAAAAGAAAAAAUAAUACAUCAGUGGUCAAAUAAGCAUAUUGAUCAAUUUUAUCAAAAGAUUCUGAGAAUCAACAGUGUUUUUCUUAUUUUAUUUACUAGUUUUAAUAAUUAAGUAAAUUUUUUUUAGUGGUAGAUAAACUUUCACGUGUCAUUCUAAACCAUUACGAUUUCAACCAAAUUCACAAAUAAGUCAGAUGGAAAUAUAUCGGUAUAAUCAAUUAAUCAAUAUAAAUUAUGCAAAUUAUAAUAAAUAAAGAAAUAACGUUCAAAUAUAUAAUUUGUUUUGAAUUAUAAUUAGUUUAAUUUUUUUUUAAAUUGAAUUUCUUCACCAUUUCGGUUAGAAAUAAUAAUGGAAAUUGUGUAUGCAUUUAAGUUGAAUAUAAGAAAAAAAAUGUUAUUAAUAUAAAUAAUUGACAUUGAUGAUAUUUUCUUUUAAUAAAUUUGUGAACUACUUCAUUUUAUUAUAAAAUUAUCAAUAUAGUUUAUAUAGUUUAUAUGAAGGAUUUUGUCAUGUUUCAAAUCAGCCUUAUUCCAUUUUUUAAGUGUCCCAAAAUACGUUAAUAAAAUAAGAUAAAUAGAUAAUCAAUGAAUUAAGUGAAAAAAUUAUUUUGGUUGUAAGUUCAAAUAGAGUAUUCAAAUGAACUUUGGAUGUGUUCUUAAUUUUCUUUUAAUAUUUUAUAUUUGUAUAUUGAUAUCACUUUUAUUAUUAUCAAAUGUUUGAAUAAAAGAUUUGAGAAAAUAUUUUGAAAAAUUAUGGUUUACUGUAAAAAAAAAAGUUCAACUUUUAUUUAAAGUUAAUGUCAUGUAUUAAUUACUAUGUUUUACAUUAUUAAUCUAUUUUGUUUCAGUUAUUAAUCCAACUGAACUAGUUUUACAUUAUUUAUCUAUUUUGUUUUUUUUCAAACAUUCUUUACUUUUAAUUUUUAUUAUUUUAUUAUAUUAUAUAUCUUAUUAUUUUAACAUAUUAUGCUAAUCAUUUUUUUAUUAUAUUAUAUUAUAUUAUAUAUAAUAAUUUAUAUUAUGUUAACUGUAUAAUGUAAAAUUAUUAUACACUAUUUUGUAUAAUAAUAUAUAAUUACAAUACAUGGAGCUUUCUGCUUUGGGCAUUUUCAAAGCAGAUUGUAAUGCUUUCUUAAUCCCAUUUUCUUCUAAUUGACUUUUGCAGCGAUUCUCCAUUCCUCCUCGCUGCGGCGAUUAUGGCUUCUGUUGCGAGCCAAAACCGUUUGUUCAGAUCAAGACGACAGCCGCUGCACCGGAGUUACCACUCCAGCAUCCAAAGCUGGCUCGAAGCAGCAAGCACCUUUCCGGCAACCAUGCAGCUCCUCCAAACCUGCCCAAUCGAACUUUACAAAAUCUCGUCUAGAAGACUAAUGUUUCGGUAGUGUUGUUUUGCAUUUGUUUUAUUUUGGCUUGAAAUUUCUUAUUGCGGUGUAUAUUUUGACAACUUGAUGCAGAGCAUUUUUUGGAUUCAAUUAAGUUCUUCUAUUGAUUCUAAUUUCAUUCAUCGAAUUGGUUAGUGAUGGUUUUGGAUUGACUUUUGGCAAGAUCCAAAUGUCUUUAGUGUCACAAGUGAAAAUUCUAAUUUUGUAAUUUUAUUAUUAUUAUUUUUUAAUUAUUUUCAUUUUCUAAAUAUAAACAAUCCCUUUUUUUAUUAUCUUUUUCUUAAUUUUCAUUCUGUUGUCUAACUGAAAAAAUCCAUAAAAAUUUGCACCGCUGAUGCACUAUCAUGUAAUUAUUUAACAAAAAUAAAAUCACACGGCCUCCUUGACAUAUUAGUUUGUAUACUAAUUGCACAACUGAGAAUUGUUUACUGAUGUCAAAUUUGUUAUAGGUCCUGCGUUACAAAGUGUCUCAGUUGCUGGAAUGAUGCUGAGAACAAAGUUUCAACCAUCUGUUUUUUUGUUGAUGUUAUCCCCUUAGUCUCCAAAAGGGUCAUGGAAUGAUGCUGAAAAAAAAGUAAGAGGUAAUGAAGGAGCCAUGUUCGCAUGUAAGCUAAAGGUGGAAAAAGGCUUGACCAAGAUGGGGCCAAGGGUGGUAGUACCUAAUGCCAAAUCACCUCAAAAGGAAUACGUGAAGCAUAUUGUCACUGUAACGUAAUUCAAGCUCAGCCUUUACGUUGUCGCUCUCUCAUUCCCACAAAAAUGAAAAACAGGGCCCCAUUGGUAGGGUGAGGAUAAAUAGUUACUAACUCAAGCCUUAGGGAAAGGCAUUUAACUUUUCAAUGUCCAUUCAUAGACAUCAUCAUUUUGUGUCACAAGUCACCUACCUUUGAUCCCUUUUGGGCACAUAAAAUAUGUAUACAAACCCUUUUUCUUAUACCUUUACUGUCUUCUUUACCUUCCACACUUUCAUAUAAAUCCAUCCCAGUCAAACCUUUCAUUGAUUCCGUCGGAUUCAAUCAAGAUUUUAUCUUUACAUUCAUUUUCUUCGUCUGCCUUUCAUGCAAGUAUAAUGCCUCUUCAGUUCUAUAUCAAAAUUUAUAGUUCACAAAUCUCAUUUAUUGCUGUAUACUAUUUUUCCACUCUACUUCUACACCCUACAGACCUAUAUAGAGAAAAUUCCUAUUUAUGCCCUAUUUUAAAUUAUGGUCGCAGUUGCGGCUAUGUUUUAAUUAGUAAAAUCGAAAAAAAAAAGUAUAAAAAGAAGUACAUAAAAGUUGAUGUAGUACAUCUGUAAUUAAAAACCUGAAAAACCAGAAUAGAUUAUUAAAGUCAAAGUAUGCAGGUGAAUUGGAUUUGUAGGCAAAAGGUUUCCGUAGUUGAUGUGUCACAAUUUCUUUCUUUCUUUCCCUAGACUUGCAUAACCAUCACACACAUCGUAUCAAUACACAAAAUUUUAUGCAUCCGUUUUGGAAUAUACUGCAUACAGUAUGUAUACAGAGAAAAAUCUUUGUCUACUCUGUUAGCUUGGUCUACCACGUGAUUGAUGGAAACAAUAUGUUAGACAUCUGAAAUGGAAUAUGGUUAAAAACACAUAAAUUCCACCCCACCCUCUUGUUUUUUUUAUGAUGCCAGACAUGUUUGAUAUGUUGCUGUGUAGAAAAUGAAUUGAAGGAGAAAGUGGUAAUUUGAGAAGUAUUAUUCUUCACUAUUUGAGGGUGGUAGGUGUGUGUGGCAGCCCCAUCAAAAACAUUGGGAUGUGUAAUAUUCCUUAUGGGCUCAGGUUGUAUUCUAUCCCAAAGUGCUUGUCCUUCCCCUGCCAUGUGAAAGGAAUGGCUGAAGCACCCUUCCAAAUCAAGAGAGCUAAAGGGAAAUUGGGUUUUCAGAGUCAAAUUUGCUGUCAUCUCACUUGCUACGAAAGUUAUCACACUUUCACACUUGGUGGUGUGCUCUAUGUAGUAGAUAAUUGAACAUUUGCAUUUCAAAUUACACUAUAAGAAUGAAAAGAGAGAAAGAAAGGUCUAGUACUAAGCAAGAGUAGGGUGAUUCAUUCUUCUACUUGAUGUGAUUCAAUUGGAGAGAGUGUGUGACUUUAAUGUCUUUCAGUUCUCUGUAUUGGAUGGAGAGAUGGGGGCUCUAGCAGCCUAGGACACAUGUAGUGCCAAAUUGAGCUCACUCAUGACAUUUAUCUUACUUAUUUUGCAUAAAAGAAAAAAAUCAAAUCAUUAAGAUAAGGACCACGACCAAGUAUGCUAGCAGCUGCACAAACUACAAGCUACAUUGAUUUCUCACAGGUAAAAGAACAACAAAAUAAAAUAUACCCAGAUUGUACUUCUGGAAACCAUGGUCUCCGAAUAGCUAGCAGAUUUGAAGAACCCCCAUUUAGCGAGGUUCUUUGAAGCCAUGACAUGAUAUUAGUUGUUGCAUCUUGGUAGGCAAAAAAUGUAACAGCUCAGGAGGGAUAGAGAAGGAAGGAGAGGAUGAAUUGGGUGGCAACGGGGAAAGGAGGAGAUCAAACUCUAUAUCAGUGGUUUGUGAUAUAGAGUUUUCCAUAUAAGCAAAAACAAAGAAAAUAGAUAGGGUGUGAGGUCUUACAAGGUCAAGAAAAGGCCUUACAAGGUCAAGAAGAGUCCAAGAAAAAACAAAAAAAGUGUGACGAAGAAGGAAGAAGAAAGAAGGUAGUAAAAGCUCAGAUAGGAUAGCACCAGAUUAGAGUGAAGCUCCUGCUGCUGCUGCCACCAAUCCAGGAGAAUUGUCAGCUCCAAUUUCAGAGCCACUAAUGGCUUCUUUUUGGUCACAUCUCCCAAUUCUCAGAGGGUUGACCAUGGCUACCUUGCUGCUAGUCACGUGCAUGAUGAGAAAACCCUUAUG